GUGUCACUUCAGCAACACACAUACUAAAAUUGGAAUGAUAUAGAGAAGGUUAACUUGGAUCCUGUGCAAGGAUGAUAUGAAAAAUUAAUGAAAUAUUCUGUAUUUUU
Molecule: small nuclear RNA, 107 nt
Organism: Delphinapterus leucas (beluga whale)
Lineage: Eukaryota; Metazoa; Chordata; Mammalia; Artiodactyla; Monodontidae
Source: Ensembl